GGGCGCGUGGCCAAGCAUGGAUAUGGCAACAGCCUCCUAAGCUGUAGAUCGGGGGUCCAAAUCCCCCCGCGCCCGCUA
Molecule: transfer RNA, 78 nt
Filed under: mine drainage metagenome
Description: tRNA-Arg
Rfam family: tRNA
About the family: Transfer RNA (tRNA) molecules are approximately 80 nucleotides in length. Their secondary structure includes four short double-helical elements and three loops (D, anti-codon, and T loops). Further hydrogen bonds mediate the characteristic L-shaped molecular structure. tRNAs have two regions of fundamental functional importance: the anti-codon, which is responsible for specific mRNA codon recognition, and the 3' end, to which the tRNAs corresponding amino acid is attached (by aminoacyl-tRNA synthetases). tRNAs cope with the degeneracy of the genetic code in two manners: having more than one tRNA (with a specific anti-codon) for a particular amino acid; and 'wobble' base-pairing, i.e. permitting non-standard base-pairing at the 3rd anti-codon position.
Source: RNAcentral